This is a long non-coding RNA of Pogonomyrmex barbatus (red harvester ant), 720 nucleotides long. NCBI's taxonomy places the organism in Eukaryota, Metazoa, Arthropoda, Insecta, Hymenoptera, Formicidae. The record is from RefSeq and is a predicted model, not a curated record.
UCCGCUGUGGAUCACACUAACACACAGGCACACUCCUAUAAUCCAGCUUUCGAGGUACCUUGUCAGUAGAUAUCAGCGACCGAAGCGCCUGUAUCUUGUGUCCCGCGUACCGAGCUCGCGAGUCGAGAAAGUCGUUUAAAACUGUUCAUGAUUUGACAUAACAGAAUUGUAGGGUCCGAAGGUGCAGCCUCGAUCGAAUCGUUUUCGUAUACAGACAUUGCUGACCAGAGGGAUAUCACAUCGCAAGUGAUAUGAAGAAGGAAAGGCCGUGACAAAAGGAAUUUGAAGACAAGUAGCCCCGGUGAAUGCAGAAAUAUGCCUUCAGCUACCGAUUGACUCAUAUAUCGAUACUGGACAGGAACAUUGAAAGUGAAAUGUAUUUAUGUGUCCAGUUGAUAAAUAUAGGACAUGCCUAUUACAGGAAUAUAGAAGCAAAGUAAAUAAAGAACAGGUUCCAAGUGGAAGAAAAUACAAGUGUGAUAAAGGAGAUCGUAGAAGUUCCAUGUGACAUUAUGUGUUAGUACAUAUGAAACUAUUGAAAAGUAUGCAAUUGUAUGGUCAGUACCAGAGAUGAUGUGCCUUUUUACAAAAUUUGUGAAGAAUGUAUAUGUACUGGAAGCUGAAGUUCAAAAAGUUGAUUUAAAAUUUUGAGAAUUGAUGAUUAAGCAAUUAAUUAUGAACCAUGUAACUACAUUACAAAUAAAAAAAUUGUUUUUUGGG